Molecule: ribosomal RNA, 624 nt
Filed under: Salmonella enterica
Lineage: Bacteria; Pseudomonadati; Pseudomonadota; Gammaproteobacteria; Enterobacterales; Enterobacteriaceae
Also listed under: 2 other names
Description: partial 23S ribosomal RNA
Rfam family: Bacterial large subunit ribosomal RNA
Source: RNAcentral
AGACCCGAAACCCGGUGAUCUAGCCAUGGGCAGGUUGAAGGUUGGGUAACACUAACUGGAGGACCGAACCGACUAAUGUUGAAAAAUUAGCGGAUGACCUGUGGCUGGGGGUGAAAGGCCAAUCAAACCGGGAGAUAGCUGGUUCUCCCCGAAAGCUAUUUAGGUAGCGCCUCGUGAAUUCAUCUCCGGGGGUAGAGCACUGUUUCGGCUAGGGGGCCAUCCCGGCUUACCAACCCGAUGCAAACUGCGAAUACCGGAGAAUGUUAUCACGGGAGACACACGGCGGGUGCUAACGUCCGUCGUGAAGAGGGAAACAACCCAGACCGCCAGCUAAGGUCCCAAAGUCAUGGUUAAGUGGGAAACGAUGUGGGAAGGCCCAGACAGCCAGGAUGUUGGCUUAGAAGCAGCCAUCAUUUAAAGAAAGCGUAAUAGCUCACUGGUCGAGUCGGCCUGCGCGGAAGAUGUAACGGGGCUAAACCAUGCACCGAAGCUGCGGCAGCGAACGUAUCACCCAAGACAACUUUACGGAGUUGACGAUUGACGGAGCGAAGCGACGUCAAAGCGUUCAUUAAAGUCGAGUUGGCUUAGGGAUACGUUCGUUGGGUAGGGGAGCGUUCUGUAAGC